CCAUUAUCGAUUUGCUACUAUGGC
RNAcentral lists this non-coding RNA (24 nucleotides) under Arabidopsis thaliana (thale cress). The record is from RNAcentral. Lineage: Eukaryota; Viridiplantae; Streptophyta; Magnoliopsida; Brassicales; Brassicaceae.